This 565-nucleotide ribosomal RNA is filed under the name Saccharomyces cerevisiae (brewer's yeast). RNAcentral describes it as "eukaryotic LSU rRNA". It matches the Rfam family "Eukaryotic large subunit ribosomal RNA", at positions 87 to 666 of the family's 3401-position model. Lineage: Eukaryota; Fungi; Ascomycota; Saccharomycetes; Saccharomycetales; Saccharomycetaceae. The record is from RNAcentral.
CGGCGAGUGAAGCGGCAAAAGCUCAAAUUUGAAAUCUGGUACCUUCGGUGCCCGAGUUGUAAUUUGGAGAGGGCAACUUUGGGGCCGUUCCUUGUCUAUGUUCCUUGGAACAGGACGUCAUAGAGGGUGAGAAUCCCGUGUGGCGAGGAGUGCGGUUCUUUGUAAAGUGCCUUCGAAGAGUCGAGUUGUUUGGGAAUGCAGCUCUAAGUGGGUGGUAAAUUCCAUCUAAAGCUAAAUAUUGGCGAGAGACCGAUAGCGAACAAGUACAGUGAUGGAAAGAUGAAAAGAACUUUGAAAAGAGAGUGAAAAAGUACGUGAAAUUGUUGAAAGGGAAGGGCAUUUGAUCAGACAUGGUGUUUUGUGCCCUCUGCUCCUUGUGGGUAGGGGAAUCUCGCAUUUCACUGGGCCAGCAUCAGUUUUGGUGGCAGGAUAAAUCCAUAGGAAUGUAGCUUGCCUCGGUAAGUAUUAUAGCCUGUGGGAAUACUGCCAGCUGGGACUGAGGACUGCGACGUAAGUCAAGGAUGCUGGCAUAAUGGUUAUAUGCCGCCCGUCUUGAACCACGGAC